AACAAAAACAAAAACAAGCACAGGAAAAAGAAACAGAAACAGCAAAACAAUGCAGUGCCUGCAAAACAUAAUAAGGUGUUAAUUCUCUGGCAAUGCCAUAAAUGCAUAUAUAGUUUUCUCUCCCGACUCUUUUGCUCUUCCUGCUGUCUUGGCCAUGAUUAAAUACUAUCAAGGUGGCAGUGCAUGCAUGGCUAUUACAACAGCAGCAUUGUUUUCUAAAAUUGCCAAUGGAAUCUAAGCGUUGAGGUACGAAAUCAAGGACAAAAAUUGAAGGCUUUGCUGAAAGUCACAAAGGUACGUAAAAUAAAAUCAAUGCAACAUUUGCAGUGAUGUUCAUGGUACUACUUCCCUCUCUUCGAUGUUGGUGGCACAAGGGCUACACUUCUGCCAACAUUACUGCUCGGGAGCAAUGAAGACCACCCAACUCUGGAGAGUUCUUGCUAUACAUAUUGAUUAGUUUCAACAACCCAGUGUUCUUUCCAUAAAGAUUGCCUUAAAUAUUUCAUACGAGUAGUAGUAGUGAUUUUGGAGUACGUCAACCAUAAUGAUGAUUAUUGUCCCCCUGAGGAUUUGUUCAUAGGGAGGGUGAAAUAAGCGCAGCUGCAAUCCAGUAGGUACACUGUACACAGAACUCUUCAGUUGUUAUUUUGAA
This is a long non-coding RNA of Quercus robur (English oak), 652 nucleotides long. RefSeq lists it as uncharacterized. Lineage: Eukaryota; Viridiplantae; Streptophyta; Magnoliopsida; Fagales; Fagaceae. The record is from RefSeq and is a predicted model, not a curated record. The transcript is spliced from 3 exons.